This 1371-nucleotide ribosomal RNA is filed under the name uncultured bacterium. Its description in RNAcentral is "bacterial SSU rRNA". It matches the Rfam family "Bacterial small subunit ribosomal RNA", at positions 28 to 1381 of the family's 1533-position model. The record is from RNAcentral.
GAUGAACGCUGGCGGCGUGCCUAAUACAUGCAAGUCGAGCGAACGGACGAGAAGCUUGCUUCUCUGAUGUUAGCGGCGGACGGGUGAGUAACACGUGGAUAACCUACCUAUAAGACUGGGAUAACUUCGGGAAACCGGAGCUAAUACCGGAUAAUAUUUUGAACCGCAUGGUUCAAAAGUGAAAGACGGUCUUGCUGUCACUUAUAGAUGGAUCCGCGCUGCAUUAGCUAGUUGGUAAGGUAACGGCUUACCAAGGCAACGAUGCAUAGCCGACCUGAGAGGGUGAUCGGCCACACUGGAACUGAGACACGGUCCAGACUCCUACGGGAGGCAGCAGUAGGGAAUCUUCCGCAAUGGGCGAAAGCCUGACGGAGCAACGCCGCGUGAGUGAUGAAGGUCUUCGGAUCGUAAAACUCUGUUAUUAGGGAAGAACAUAUGUGUAAGUAACUGUGCACAUCUUGACGGUACCUAAUCAGAAAGCCACGGCUAACUACGUGCCAGCAGCCGCGGUAAUACGUAGGUGGCAAGCGUUAUCCGGAAUUAUUGGGCGUAAAGCGCGCGUAGGCGGUUUUUUAAGUCUGAUGUGAAAGCCCACGGCUCAACCGUGGAGGGUCAUUGGAAACUGGAAAACUUGAGUGCAGAAGAGGAAAGUGGAAUUCCAUGUGUAGCGGUGAAAUGCGCAGAGAUAUGGAGGAACACCAGUGGCGAAGGCGACUUUCUGGUCUGUAACUGACGCUGAUGUGCGAAAGCGUGGGGAUCAAACAGGAUAGAUACCCUGGUAGUCCACGCCGUAAACGAUGAGUGCUAAGUGUUAGGGGGUUUCCGCCCCUUAGUGCUGCAGCUAACGCAUUAAGCACUCCGCCUGGGGAGUACGACCGCAAGGUUGAAACUCAAAGGAAUUGACGGGGACCCGCACAAGCGGUGGAGCAUGUGGUUUAAUUCGAAGCAACGCGAAGAACCUUACCAAAUCUUGACAUCCUUUGACAACUCUAGAGAUAGAGCCUUCCCCUUCGGGGGACAAAGUGACAGGUGGUGCAUGGUUGUCGUCAGCUCGUGUCGUGAGAUGUUGGGUUAAGUCCCGCAACGAGCGCAACCCUUAAGCUUAGUUGCCAUCAUUAAGUUGGGCACUCUAAGUUGACUGCCGGUGACAAACCGGAGGAAGGUGGGGAUGACGUCAAAUCAUCAUGCCCCUUAUGAUUUGGGCUACACACGUGCUACAAUGGACAAUACAAAGGGCAGCGAAACCGCGAGGUCAAGCAAAUCCCAUAAAGUUGUUCUCAGUUCGGAUUGUAGUCUGCAACUCGACUACAUGAAGCUGGAAUCGCUAGUAAUCGUAGAUCAGCAUGCUACGGUGAAUACGUUCCCGGGUCU